CAUUCCAUAAUAGUCCAGAAUAACUACCUUCUCCUUUUCUCUCCAAGCAAUUUCCCGCCCUAAAAUCCAAAACCCUAACGCUAACAAAGCCUCACCGUAAAACCCUAACACCAAUCGCAACCGCAAAUUCAAACCUCAAAAGGCCAAAUUCAAGUCCCCGCCGCGAACAAUCACUUCCGCCGCCGGCGAAGACGCUGGCUCGCCUCCAUCCUCUAGAACACUGCACCGUUCCGUAUUUUAAUUUCGAAUCUGAAGCACCAAAAGAAGUAAAGCUCUCCGACUCUAAUGCAGUCAAACUCGACGAUGGACGGGAAACGCAGCGUUUCAGGACUCACGAUGGGCUGAAUGGUGAUUUACGUGUCGAUUCCAGGCGAUUUGAAGUGUUUGAAAUUAAUGCAGAUUUUGAAGAAGGAAAAGACGACGAUUAUGAGUAUGAGAGCGAGGAGGAGGAAGAAGAAGAAACUGUGAAUGAUUGUAAUAGCGAUGGCUUUUAUGAAGGAGUUUGCUGACGGGGAAAUGUGAAUUUGUUAGAUUUUGAGGGUGAAGAAGAAGUCGGGAAGGAGGAGAGAUUGUUGGCUGUGACGCGGUGUUUUGUCAGGGAGAAAAUUUAUGUCAAAGCGGGAGACGGUGGGAAUGGAGUGUUGGCUUUUCGGCGCGAGAAAUUUGUGCCAAUGGGGACCGUCUGGAGGGGAUGGAUGUAGAGGAUGGAAUGCUUCUGUAGAAGUUGGUGGUUCAAUGAAUUCUUCGUUUCCAUUUAGGAAUAUAGUGUAUUAUAGGACGGGGAGAGGGGUCCAUGGGCAAGGGAUGAGCAUGGAUGGAGCGAAAGGAGAGGAUGUUGUGGUGAAAGUGCCGGCGAGGAUGGUUGCUAGGGAGUCUGGGAAUGAGGAGGUUUUGUUGUGGUCAUGCCUGGUGGGAGAGGGAAUGCUGCGUUGAAGUGUGGGAGUGAUAAGGAACCUAAGAUUGCGGAGAAUGGUGAAGAGGGUUUAGAAAUAGUUAGUGUAUUUUUAAUCGUGAUUUGUGUUUCACUGUUAGUUGUUAGGGCUACUUUCUAUAGGUUGCCUUUUGGAUUGUGUGUGUAUUAUAAAUUGUUUGAUUUUAAGUGUUUGAAUUGGCUUGUUGGCAUAGUGUUUUCGUAUUGAUACUUUUUGUAGUACUGUGAUUUAAUUUGAUUGAUCUUGCUUUGCUUUGAUUAAAGCCAUGAUCAUGAGAAUGGUGACAAGUCAGUAUAAUAUACAUUUUGAACUCCGAUUGGUUUGCUUUGAUUAAAGUGAUUGAUCUUUCUGCUAACGUUCUGCAUUUUUAAUGUGCUGGAGUUGGUUUAUCUAGUGUUGCAUGACUAAGAAUGCUAUGUUUGGUUAUAUUGUCGAGGUUAAUACAAUAAAGUUAUUAAAUUUCAAUUGUUUGUUAGGCUUGAGGGAUAUAGCUAUAUAUUCUGGAAGAGUUUAUUUUGAUAUGUGCUCAUAAGAAAUAAUGGCGUGCAUGAACAGGUGGUCGGAGCCGGAGCCAAAGCUGGUCACAGAUGUUGGAAUAGUGGGUGCCCCAAAUGCUGGGAAGAGCACACUUUCGAGUUUCACAAAGUGCUGCUCAGCUGGCAUUUGCAAAUUAUCCUUUUACUACUUUACUUCCUAACCUGGGUGUAGUUUCAUUUGAUUAUGAUUCUACAAUGGUAUUAGCAGACCUUCCAGGUUUACUUGAAGAAGCGCAUCGGGGUUUUGGUCUAGGUCAGAGUUUCUACUACACACUGAAAGGUGUUCUGCCCUGGUACGGGCGUUCUAUCAUGAGCUACAGCUAAUUUAAUUAUCAGAUCUGUGGUUACAACACUAAGUUUUGUAGUUUGAGCUUGUCAUGCCGUCCUGCCUUGCCGCUGACAUUUGGAUGGGCUUCAUACUCGCCUUUUGGAUGGGCAUCAUCCUCUCCUAUUAUUUGUUUGAUAUUUCUGCUGAUAGCUCUUCACAGCAGCCAGAAUUUGAGUUUAUUCUGUUUGUCUUGAGCUGGAAAUGUUGAGUCCUGAGCUUCCUGAGAAGACCUAUGUAGUUGCCUCCAACAAAAUGGACCUGCUGGAGGCAUAUGAGAACUGGCUGUUAUUCAAGGAAAACCACAAGCACAUGGGAUCCAGACUUUUUGCACGAGUGCUGUGAAGAGAGAAGGUACACAUGAAGUGAUCCGUGCUGCUCAUAAGCUUCUGCAAGAAAGUAAAGAAGCCAAUAAGGGGUUUGAAGAUAUAAAGAUUCUGAGAGAAGAUUCCAACAUGUGUUGGAGGCUUUUGGUGUUAACAAGCCACUCUUGAAGAUGGGAGUCGAGGAAGGUGACUCUGUGAUUGUUGGAGAGAAUUCUGAUUGGUCUAUCGAAUGUGAAGAAGUUAUCAUUUGAUCCUACCAAAUGGAGUGGGAGUAAUCCUUCUGUUCUUAAUGCCAAGAGUAUAGUGACUGAGUUUCUUAGUAUCAUGACCAUAAUGAUAGAAUACCUACAUGGAGCAAAGUGACCACAAUUUAUUGCUCUUCUGCUUAUUGACAGAAAAAGGGGACUUCUUCAGAGAAAUAGUAAAGCUUUUCCUUGAAUAUUUGCAAGCUCUGAAGUAGCUUCAUGUGCAAUUUUCCACAGUGGGCAGAUCGUGGUUGCGGCCUAUUUCAUCCGACUGAUGGCAUGCAGGUUGCUACAGACGUUCAGCAGUUGCCACAUAGAAUAACCAUGUAAAGCAAACAUAUGCCAUCUGGGAAGAUGUGAUACUAGUUACCACUAGCAAAGGCAAAUGAAAGUGGAGUUCAAAGCUCUUUUGGCCCAAUCCUGUUAUGUCUGAUAAUGAGAUUACUUGAGAUAGAGAACUUAAAUCAUAGAUUCAGCACAAAAUGCUAGAGUUACAAGUGGUAGAUGUGACAAACAGAUGGAUAUGCUAUCUUUAUGUCGACCUCUUCUUGAAUUCAUGUGGGAGUUACCCCUAGGACAAGAAUUCAGGUAUGUAACAAUUUGCUUCCGUGGUGGAUCCUCGUUUCUGCUUUCUUGCCCCUGGAGGACUUUGGUGCUGCAAUCCAACCGGUACAGCCCUUCACACUAGGAUGACAAUGUAUAUCCAUUGAUCGGGAGGAUUUGUACUAUUCAUACCAAAACCUGAACCUGAAAUUACUAUCAAAUUCCUGACUUGAACUCGGACGGGUAUGGAUUUUCGAUAUAUGAGCUUGAACCUGAUCGGUUGGGCAUCCAUAACCUGAACCCGAAUGUUAAAACUUAGAACUAUUUAGUAUAUAAUUAGCUUAGUAUAUAUAUAAUCUUUUCAAAAUUUGAGAUUAUUUCUUUA
Molecule: long non-coding RNA, 3292 nt
Organism: Populus trichocarpa (black cottonwood)
Lineage: Eukaryota; Viridiplantae; Streptophyta; Magnoliopsida; Malpighiales; Salicaceae
Exons: 6
Source: RefSeq, a predicted model, not a curated record